GCAAAAGAUGAUCAAGAAGAGCAUGAAAAAAUCCCCUGAAUCAAUUGGCUUGCUUCCCUAUACUGACAACAAUUUACGUGUGGAACCUCAAAGAAUUCAAAUAUGCUACUUAGUAUACACACUGAUGUUUGCUCACCCUCUGAGUGUAUGCUCAAAUUUUAUCGUGGCUUAUCUUCUCCAAAAAAUGGGUCGAAAUUUCUGUAGAAUAGACAAAUCAAGGAUGAUGACUUCUUAAGAUGCAGUAUUCAAGUUCAGAAAUCUAUACUCAGAUGACCUUGUGUAGGUCAUCUGCGUCUGAGGUUUAUCUCACCAGUGGUAACUGAAAUGGCAUCCUGACUCAAGCUGUACACAUUUGCAAUAUCUGAUUUUUAACCACACACUCAUCAUCCUAUUGACCCAGAGUGAAAAUUGAUACUCUUAUCUGAAGGACUGUUCCCUUGAGUAUAUUUAAACCAGACCAAUCUCUGUGUUUAAUCUGGGUUCAUCAGGAACCAUUAGCCUUGAUUGGUUUGUUUUUCUCCCCCUCCAUCUCAGGACUUGAUUCUAUUGAGUUAACAACUAUUCU
Molecule: long non-coding RNA, 565 nt
Organism: Symphalangus syndactylus (siamang)
Lineage: Eukaryota; Metazoa; Chordata; Mammalia; Primates; Hylobatidae
Source: RefSeq, a predicted model, not a curated record